This 318-nucleotide ribosomal RNA is filed under the name uncultured bacterium. Its description in RNAcentral is "bacterial SSU rRNA". It matches the Rfam family "Bacterial small subunit ribosomal RNA", at positions 28 to 334 of the family's 1533-position model. The record is from RNAcentral.
GAUGAACGCUAGCGGCAGGCUUAACACAUGCAAGUCGAGGGGCAGCAUGAGACGGAGAUUCGUCGAAGUCUUGAUGGCGACCGGCGCAAGGGUGCGUAACGCGUGAGCAACUUGCCCGUUUCAGGGGGAUAACCGGUGGAAACGCCGACUAAUACUCCAUAGUAUUGCGAUAAGGCAUCUUUUUGCAAUUAAAGAAUUUCGGAAACGGAUAGGCUCGCGUGACAUUAGCUAGAUGGUGAGGUAACGGCUCACCAUGGCGACGAUGUCUAGGGGUUCUGAGAGGAAGGUCCCCCACACUGGAACUGAGACACGGUCCAG